UACGAAGGGGGCUAGCGUUGCUCGGAUUUACUGGGCGUAAAGGGCGCGUAGGCGGACAGUUUAGUCAGAGGUGAAAGCCCAGGGCUCAACCUUGGAAUUGCCUUUGAUACUGGCUGUCUUGAGUACGGGAGAGGUGAGUGGAACUCCGAGUGUAGAGGUGAAAUUCGUAGAUAUUCGGAAGAACACCAGUGGCGAGGGCGACUCACUGGCCCGGUACUGACGCUGAGGCGCGAAAGCGUGGGGAGCAAACAGG
RNAcentral lists this ribosomal RNA (253 nucleotides) under uncultured bacterium. RNAcentral describes it as "partial 16S ribosomal RNA". It matches the Rfam family "Bacterial small subunit ribosomal RNA", at positions 524 to 776 of the family's 1533-position model. The record is from RNAcentral.